Long non-coding RNA from Maniola jurtina (meadow brown), 437 nucleotides. RefSeq lists it as uncharacterized. The transcript is spliced from 3 exons. The record is from RefSeq and is a predicted model, not a curated record. Lineage: Eukaryota; Metazoa; Arthropoda; Insecta; Lepidoptera; Nymphalidae.
GUAUUUUUGUGUUUGUGUGUUGCUGUAUGUAUUAUGUAUUUGCUUGCUUUCAUACAAUUCUUGCACUUUGAUUGGAACAUAUUAAAAUAUUUUUUUAUUUGAAAUGAUGAACAUUUAUGUCAUGCACCAAUCUGAAAGGUUUUGCUGAACAAUCACCUACCGGUAUAUCUGAUGCCAACACACCACCCCGAUAUCCAUAAUAUGUACUCAACAAAAUUUACAAAUUCAGUUUUCAUUUCAGGCAUCUGGGUCUGUAGAUCAACUGCAUUGAGAUCACAGUUCCUAUCUUGAAAUACGUCAAUUCACUCAGCUUGCCGUCAACUAGGCAUCAAGUUCUUAAUAUAAAAGAUUACAGCUCAGAGGAGCGAAAACCGCAAAAAAAAUUGUAAAUGUUUAAUUAUGCAAAGUAUUUUUAACAAUAAAUUAUUUAAGUUGUA